GGAGAGAUGGCCGAGUGGUUGAAGGUGCUCGCCUGGAAAGUGAGUGUACUCUUCACGGGGUACCGAGGGUUCGAAUCCCUCUCUCUCCG
Molecule: transfer RNA, 89 nt
Filed under: Cyclobacteriaceae bacterium
Lineage: Bacteria; Pseudomonadati; Bacteroidota; Cytophagia; Cytophagales; Cyclobacteriaceae
Description: tRNA-Ser
Rfam family: tRNA
About the family: Transfer RNA (tRNA) molecules are approximately 80 nucleotides in length. Their secondary structure includes four short double-helical elements and three loops (D, anti-codon, and T loops).
Source: RNAcentral